GACGAACGCUGGCGGCGUGCUUAACACAUGCAAGUCGAACGGUAAGGCCUUCGGGUACACGAGUGGCGAACGGGUGAGUAACACGUGGGUGAUCUGCCCUGCACUUUGGGAUACGCCUGGGAGACUGGGUCUAAUACCGGAUAGGACUACGCACUGCAUGGCGUGUGGUGGAAAGCUUUUGCGGUGUGGGAUGGGCCCGCGGCCUAUCAGCUUGUUGGUGGGGUGAUGGCCUACCAAGGCGACGACGGGUAGCCGGCCUGAGAGGGUGUCCGGCCACACUGGGACUGAGAUACGGCCCAGACUCCUACGGGAGGCAGCAGUGGGGAAUAUUGCACAAUGGGCGCAAGCCUGAUGCAGCGACGCCGCGUGGGGGAUGACGGCCUUCGGGUUGUAAACCUCUUUCAGCACAGACGAAGCGCGAGUGACGGUAUGUGCAGAAGAAGGACCGGCCAACUACGUGCCAGCCGCCGCAGUAA
Molecule: ribosomal RNA, 476 nt
Filed under: uncultured bacterium
Lineage: Bacteria
Description: partial 16S ribosomal RNA
Rfam family: Bacterial small subunit ribosomal RNA
Source: RNAcentral